AACGCUAGCUACAGGCUUAACACAUGCAAGUCGCGGGGCAGCAUGAAUUUAGCUUGCUAAAUUUGAUGGCGACCGGCGCACGGGUGAGUAACGCGUAUCCAACCUUCCCCUGUCCACGGGAUAGCCCGUCGAAAGGCGGAUUAAUACCGUAUGAGGUCACACGAUGGCAUCAGACUGUGACGAAAGGUUUAGCGGACAGGGAUGGGGAUGCGUCCGAUUAGCUUGUUGGCGGGGUAACGGCCCACCAAGGCAACGAUCGGUAGGGGUUCUGAGAGGAAGGUCCCCCACAUUGGAACUGAGACACGGUCCAAACUCCUACGGGAGGCAGCAGUGAGGAAUAUUGGUCAAUGGGCGAGAGCCUGAACCAGCCAAGUAGCGUGCAGGAUGACGGCCCUAUGGGUUGUAAACUGCUUUUAUGCGGGGAUAACGUGCACCACGUGUGGUGUAUUGUAGGUACCGCAUGAAUAAGGACCGGCUAAUUCCGUGCCAGCAGCCGCGGUAAUACGGAAGGUCCGGGCGUUAUCCGGAUUUAUUGGGUUUAAAGGGAGCGUAGGCCGCUGUUUAAGCGUGUUGUGAAAAACCGGGGCUCAACUCCGGUCGUGCAGCGCGAACUGGACGGCUUGAGUGCGCGGUAAGUGGGCGGAAUUUGUGGUGUAGCGGUGAAAUGCUUAGAUAUCACGAAGAACUCCGAUUG
This 694-nucleotide ribosomal RNA is filed under the name uncultured bacterium. Its description in RNAcentral is "bacterial SSU rRNA". It matches the Rfam family "Bacterial small subunit ribosomal RNA", at positions 32 to 715 of the family's 1533-position model. The record is from RNAcentral.